GACGAACGCUGGCGGCGUGCUUAACACAUGCAAGUCGAACGGUAAGGCCCUUCGGGGUACACGAGUGACGAACGGGUGAGUAACACGGGGGUGAUCUGCCCUGCACUUCGGGCUAAGCCUGGGAAACUGGGUCUAAUACCGGAUAGGACUCCUGGCUUCAUGGUGGGGGGUGGAAAGCUUUUGCGGUGUGGGGUGGGCCCGCGGCCUAUCAGCUUGUUGGUGGGGUAAUGGCCUACCAAGGCGACGACGGGUAGCCGGCCUGAGAGGGUGACCGGUCACACUGGGACUGAGAUACGGCCCAGACUCCUACGGGAGGCAGCAGUGGGGAAUAUUGCACAAUGGGCGCAAGCCUGAUGCAGCGACGCCGCGUGAGGGAUGACGGCCUUCGGGUUGUAAACCUCUUUCAGCUAUGACGAAGCGCAAGUGACGGUAGUAGCAGAAGAAGGACCGGCCAACUACGUGCCAGCCGCCGCCGUAC
Molecule: ribosomal RNA, 478 nt
Filed under: uncultured bacterium
Lineage: Bacteria
Description: partial 16S ribosomal RNA
Rfam family: Bacterial small subunit ribosomal RNA
Source: RNAcentral